This is a non-coding RNA of Podarcis lilfordi (Lilford's wall lizard), 150 nucleotides long. The record is from the annotation of a GenBank genome assembly. Lineage: Eukaryota; Metazoa; Chordata; Lepidosauria; Squamata; Lacertidae.
GUUAGAUGGGAAUGAGAACCACCAAAAGUGAAAGCGACUUGCCUGGGACUAUGGGAAGAAAACAACAACUGCAAUGGACAGUUGUUGUUUUCUUUCCACAAUCCCAGGCAUGUGGCUUUCACUUUUGGUGUCUCUCAUUUCCAUCUGGCU